This 501-nucleotide unclassified non-coding RNA is filed under the name uncultured Glomus. Its description in RNAcentral is "SSU rRNA". It matches the Rfam family "Eukaryotic small subunit ribosomal RNA", at positions 569 to 1074 of the family's 1831-position model. The record is from RNAcentral. RNAcentral also lists the same sequence under 1 other name. Lineage: Eukaryota; Fungi; Glomeromycota; Glomeromycetes; Glomerales; Glomeraceae.
AGCAGCCGCGGUAAUUCCAGCUCCAAUAGCGUAUAUUAAAGUUGUUGCAGUUAAAAAGCUCGUAGUUGAAUUUCGGAAUCAAUUUAUUGGUCGUGCAAUAGUACGUACUGGUAUUAUUGGUUUCUCCCUUCUGAUGAACCAUGAUGUCAUUAAUUUGGUGUUAUGGGGAACCAGGACUGUUACUUUGAAAAAUUAGAGUGUUUAAAGCAGGCUCACGCUUGAAUACAUUAGCAUGGAAUAAUGAAAUAGGACGUUUGAUUCUAUUCUGUUGGUUUCUAGGAUCGACGUAAUGAUUAAUAGGGAUAGUUGGGGGCAUUAGUAUUCAAUUGUCAGAGGUGAAAUUCUUGGAUUUAUUGAAGACUAACUACUGCGAAAGCAUUUGCCAAGGAUGUUUUCAUUAAUCAAGAACGAAAGUUAGGGGAUCGAAGACGAUCAGAUACCGUCGUAGUCUUAACCAUAAACUAUGCCGACUAGGGAUCGGAUGAUGUUAAUUUUUAAUGA